This is a small nuclear RNA of Cavia porcellus (domestic guinea pig), 104 nucleotides long. The record is from Ensembl. Lineage: Eukaryota; Metazoa; Chordata; Mammalia; Rodentia; Caviidae.
GUGCUUAUUUUGGCAGCACAUAUAUUAAAAUUGGAAUGAUACCGAGAUUAGCGUGGUCCCUGCUCAUGGAUGACAUGCAAAUUUGUGAAGGGUUUCAUAUUUUU